UAAAUGGUAAACUUAUUCCUUUGGGUCUCU
RNAcentral lists this non-coding RNA (30 nucleotides) under Rattus norvegicus (Norway rat). Lineage: Eukaryota; Metazoa; Chordata; Mammalia; Rodentia; Muridae. The record is from RNAcentral.